UUGGGCGUAAGAGCUCGUAGGCGGUUUGUCGCGUCUGCUGUGAAAUCCCGAGGCUCAACCUCGGGCUUGCAGUGGGUACGGGCAGACUAGAGUGCGGUAGGGGAGAUUGGAAUUCCUGGUGUAGCGGUGGAAUGCGCAGAUAUCAGGAGGAACACCGAUGGCGAAGGCAGAUCUCUGGGCCGUAACUGACGCUGAGGAGCGAAAGCGUGGGGAGCGAACAGGAUUAGAUACCCUGGUAGUCCACGCCGUAAACGUUGGGCGCUAGAUGUAGGGACCUUUCCACGGUUUCUGUGUCGUAGCUAACGCAUUAAGCGCCCCGCCUGGGGAGUACGGCCGCAAGGCUAAAACUCAAAGGAAUUGACGGGGGCCCGCACAAGCGGCGGAGCAUGCGGAUUAAUUCGAUGCAACGCGAAGAACCUUACCAAGGCUUGACAUACACCGGAAACGGCCAGAGAUGGUUGCCCCCUUGUGGUCGGUGUACAGGUGGUGCAUGGUUGUCGUCAGCUCGUGUCGUGAGAUGUUGGGUUAAGUCCCGCAACGAGCGCAACCCUCGUUCUAUGUUGCCAGCGCGUUAUGGCGGGGACUCAUAGGAGACUGCCGGGGUCAACUCGGAGGAAGGUGGGGAUGAC
This 629-nucleotide ribosomal RNA is filed under the name uncultured bacterium. Its description in RNAcentral is "bacterial SSU rRNA". It matches the Rfam family "Bacterial small subunit ribosomal RNA", at positions 554 to 1183 of the family's 1533-position model. The record is from RNAcentral.